UGGUGGGCUAUGGAGAAUUAUUGUCAUGUCCGUAGGGACGAGUCAUUGAGACCAAAUCUGUUUCUGUGACCUUUCGUAAAAGAGGCCUGGAGUAGCAUAUGGAAGUGCACUGCAACAGCUUUAUCCAUGAGAGAGAAAGACUGUAGAAUGUUGUUUUGACAGUAUUAUACAAUAAAACAUGUAUUCAUUAUUUGCAGUAUAUGGCAAUGCACUCUUGGUGAUUUUUUUUUUUUUUUUAGGCAUAAACAGUAAGUUAUACUGUAAAUUCCAAAUAAACUUUGGUUUAACAGUACUUUACUGUAACCCCACAGCAUUCGGGCCUCCCUACUGGCACUGCAUCUUAGUGCAAGAGGUGUGUUCCUGGCUCCUUAACAUAUUUUGAGGCGUAUAAGAGGCUAAUGAAGAGGCUAAAUUUGUGCCGCCCAUGAGCGAGAGUCCUGUGCCAACUAAACUGAUUGGUCGUAGCAGUGUUUCUACACUUAAAUGUGUAUAUAGGGGACAUAUUGGAGUGGUGGCAAGUGUCACUAUUUGCCACGUCCUUUGGCCUGUUUUACCCUGUAUUCACUGCCAGUGUGGGAGCCUUUGUUAAGGCCUCUUGAAGUGAAAGUGCUAUUAUACUUUUUAUACCCCCUAAAAUUACGGUGAAAUACUGUAAAAAAAAAAAAAAAGAAUUAAAAAAAAAUCUCUUCUCCCCCUUAGUUGUUUGUAAGUUACAGUAAAAACAACUGGAAAGGUUUUUAAUGGUGUAGCUAAAGUCUCUGCACAAGUACAAAACAAUGUGCUUUAUACGAUCUUCUUCUUCGUCAUUUAUCUAUAAGUACAUAUCCUCUUCUCAAGUCAGGGGCAAAAAAAGCUGAUUUCCAUGGUGUUCAUGUUGAGCUGCAGCUCUGCUCUACAACAAAAAUAUAAACGCAACAUGUAAAGUGUUGGUUCCAUGUUUCAUGAGCUGAAAAUAACAUUUUUCUUUACGCACAAAUAGCUUAUUUCUCUCCAAUUGUGUGAACACAUAUGUUUACAUCCCUGU
This is a long non-coding RNA of Oncorhynchus tshawytscha (Chinook salmon), 1024 nucleotides long. NCBI's taxonomy places the organism in Eukaryota, Metazoa, Chordata, Actinopteri, Salmoniformes, Salmonidae. The record is from Ensembl.